Molecule: long non-coding RNA, 208 nt
Organism: Cydia amplana
Lineage: Eukaryota; Metazoa; Arthropoda; Insecta; Lepidoptera; Tortricidae
Exons: 2
Source: RefSeq, a predicted model, not a curated record
ACCUAAACGUCGACCGGAAAGCCAAUUUUUGACAAUGUAUGUAUAUUUGGAAGUAUUUACAUAUACUAGGAGACUAAAGGGAACUUUUAGUGUUUCAAUGGUUGCUCACUAUAUUUUUUAUAAUAGGUUUUUGUGGUGCUGGAACCUUAUUCCUGCAGUUUUUACUGCAAAGUGCCACACUAGAUAUUUAUUUUUGCAAUUGCACUGU